This 1440-nucleotide long non-coding RNA is filed under the name Heterocephalus glaber (naked mole-rat). RNAcentral describes it as "lncRNA (ENSHGLG00100032898.1)". The record is from RNAcentral. Lineage: Eukaryota; Metazoa; Chordata; Mammalia; Rodentia; Bathyergidae.
CUAGGCUUUCUCCGGACCUGAAGAGCAAUGGUGCUGAGGAGGGCAGAGGAGCGUAGGCCUGGCUGCGGCCGGAGUGUCAGUUCUCUAAGUCCUUUAAGCACGCAUUGGAUGGAGAGUACUGCUUCAUCAUAGCAUGCCAGGCUCCCUUGCAGCUGACUCAGGAGUUGGGAGGUGGUGUACGUGGAUCCUACAGCGAGAGCCUGGGGAUGGUGAAGACAUCGCCAAGCAGAAUUCCCAUGAACCUCGACUCUCAAGACACAGCUUGCCUUGCUGAGUCAUGAGGACUUCUUUUAACCACCUGGGGGACUUGGAGAACAAGUGCAGAAAGUAACCAUAUGAUGCUGGGACAGCAUGAACUCCACUCUGAUCACGAGCCUAGGCACCUGAUGUGGCCCUGGCAGAGUCAUCCUGCAUGUUCUGAAUGUUCUGCUGUCUGGUAAGGAGCUUUCUUCUGCGAGCCCCACUACCUUUCCUACUCCUCAGUGUUGCCAGGAGUCAUUGGCUUCUCUCCAUCCAUGACUACUUAUAUUUUUCCUUCCAAACAUCCCACUGGAGGUAAAUGAGGGAAGCCUUUCCAGAUCCUUCAGGUGGAAUGGAACUGUGUUCACAGUUAAAACACAACCAAAGCCAACAAACAAAUAAGAACAAAUCGGGCUGGGGAUAUAGCUCAGUGGUACCACUCCUGCCUGGCAAGCACAGGCCCCGAGUUCAGUCCCUGGUACCAGAAAAAAAGACAAAGCAAAAAAUUUUGGGGGCUGGGCAUGUAGCUCCGUGGCAUAGUGCCUGCCUGGCAAGUUCCAUCACCGGUCCCCAAACAACAACAACAAAAAAACCAAAUCAAACCAAAGACCAAAUCAAUAACAAAAGCAAAAGGCAUCAGCUUUCAGCUACUAGUCAAGAUCACAGCUGCAAAAGAUUUGGGUUGGAUGGAAGAGAAAGACUGUAAAGUUUCUUGUGGGACUCAGUCAUAGAGACUGUAGGGUUUUUAAGACAUGAGAAAAAUGAUCAGAAAUAGGGAAGAUUGGGCAUGGGGAGCAGAGUCUGAACCUACACUGUUGCCUCUGUAGACUGAAGACUGGAGCACCCACUAAAGUGGAUGGGACUCCCAGUGGCUGCUCUGGACACAAAUUCCCAUGCAUGUGCAUCUGGGUAAUGGCCUCAAGGAGACAACAGGUAAACCAUUCCAUGGGCUAAUGUGGGGCUGACUCUAUCUGACAGCAAGGGACAGAAGCAAGAGCAAGUCUCAGGUCAGCAGGACCUGGGCACUGUGUUCUGGGCAGGAGAGCAAACAUGCCUAACCUGGCUGAGAAGGUGAGAAGAGUGACUUAUUCUGGAAGUACCGCAACGUGUGGUGGUUGGGUGAUCAAACCAUGGAAAAUGGGUUCCAAAUCUGACUUGUUUUGUGUUCUAGGAUAAAAAAUUACUUGCUUUGAAAUCUGU